UUUUAGCCCCGAUAGAAGCGGCAUCCUUUGGGGCGACGUGAGGCGACGGAGCGUAGCGGAGUCGUCCGAGCGGCGCACAAAAGAUAGAGCGGAUAGCGGGAAAAGCU
This 107-nucleotide small RNA is filed under the name Soonwooa buanensis. RNAcentral's name for it is "Flavo-1 RNA". It matches the Rfam family "Flavo-1 RNA". The record is from Rfam by way of RNAcentral. Lineage: Bacteria; Pseudomonadati; Bacteroidota; Flavobacteriia; Flavobacteriales; Weeksellaceae.